This 449-nucleotide ribosomal RNA is filed under the name uncultured bacterium. RNAcentral describes it as "bacterial SSU rRNA". It matches the Rfam family "Bacterial small subunit ribosomal RNA", at positions 354 to 796 of the family's 1533-position model. The record is from RNAcentral.
GUGGGGAAUCUUGCGCAAUGGGCGAAAGCCUGACGCAGCGACGCCGCGUGAGCGAUGAAGGCCUUCGGGUUGUAAAGCUCUGUGGGGAGAGAAGAAUAAGGGUUGGCUAACAUCCAACUUGAUGACGGUAUCUCCUUAGCAAGCACCGGCUAACUCUGUGCCAGCAGCCGCGGUAAGACAGAGGGUGCAAACGUUGUUCGGAAUCACUGGGCGUAAAGCGCGUGUAGGCUGUUUGGCAAGUCGGAUGUGAAAUCCCACGGCUCAACCAUGGAAGUGCAUUCGAAACUGCCAAACUAGAGUUCUGGAGAGGAAGGCGGAAUACUCGGUGUAGAGGUGAAAUUCGUAGAUAUCGAGUGGAACACCGGUGGCGAAGGCGGCCUUCUGGACAGUGACUGACGCUGAAACGCGAAAGCGUGGGGAGCAAACAGGAUUAGAAACCCCUGUAGUCC